CUUCACGGCACCCAGCAGGAGGGGGCGGCCCUCGGGCCGGUCCUGUCCGUAGGUGGCGAGGAGGGCCUGGGCCUC
This is a non-coding RNA of Streptomyces albireticuli, 75 nucleotides long. It matches the Rfam family "ASpks TB sRNA". NCBI's taxonomy places the organism in Bacteria, Bacillati, Actinomycetota, Actinomycetes, Kitasatosporales, Streptomycetaceae. The record is from Rfam.